UCUGUGUUGUUGUUAGUUAUGGCUGAUGUCAGUCCCGCCUUUUGGCAUUUCGUUUUAUAACGGAGGUAGGGUCAAUUUUGGAUCAGCGUACCGCGUUAUGCCCGAUUUAGAAU
This 113-nucleotide non-coding RNA is filed under the name uncultured eukaryote. The record is from RNAcentral.